AGAGUUUGAUCCUGGCUCAGGAUGAAUGCUGGUGGCGUGCCUUAGGCAUGCAAGUCGAGCGAACCGACGCAAGUCGGUUAGCGGCGGACGGGUGAGUAAUGGUAGGAAUUUACCUCUUGGUGGAGGAUAGCUCAGCGAAAGUUGGGGUAAUCCUGCAUAAGUUCUCCGGAAGAAAGGCCGUAACUGGCCGCCGAGAGAGAAGCCUGCGUCCUAUCAGCUUGUUGGUGAGGUAAUGGCCCACCAAGGCGAUGACGGGUAGGGGGCGUGAGAGCGUGAUCCCCCACAAGGUAACUGAGACACGGUGCCUACGUCUACGGACGGCAGCAACUAGGAAUAUUCGGCAAUGGGCGAAAGCCUGACCGAGCGACGCCGCGUGCGGGAUGAAGGCCUUCGGGUUGUAAACCGCUGUGGAGAGGGAAAAUUAUGAUUGUACCUCUCUAGAAAGCACCUGCUAACUACGUGCCAGAAGCCUCGGUGAAACGUAGGGUGCAAGCAUUAUCCGGAUUUAUUGGGCGUAAAGAGUAUCGUAGGCGGUUUUGUAAGUGAUUGGUGAAAGCCUCUGGCUCAACCAGAGAACUGCCGGUCAUACUGCAAGACUAGAGUGAUUUCGGGAAGGCUGGAAUUCUCGGUGUAGGGGUGAAAUCCGUUGAUAUCGAGAAGAACACCAAGGGCGAAGGCAGGCCUUUAGAAAUCUACUGACGCUGAUGAACGAAAGCUUGGGGAGCAAAAGGGAUUAGAGACCCCUGUAGUCCAAGCCGUAAACGAUGUUCACUAGCUGGUCCCGCUUUUGCGGAACUGGCGUAAGCUAACGCGUUAAGUGAACCGCCUGGGGAGUACGGCCGCAAGGUUAAAACUCAAAGGAAUUGACGGGGAAACGCACAACCAGGGGAGCAUGUGGUUUAAUUCGAGACAAAGCGAAGAACCUUACCUGGGCUUGACAUCUAUUUGACAGUCCCGUGAAAGCGGGAUCUUCCGCAAGGACAAAUAGACAGCUGCUGCAUGGCUGUCGUCAGCUCGUACCGUGAGGCGUCGGCUUAAGUGCCGCAACGAGCGCAACCCCUGUCCUGUGUUGCAUUUCACAGGAGACUGCCUCGCUACUAGCGGGGAGGAAGGAGGGGACGACGUCAAGUCAGCACGGCGCUUACGCCCAGGGCAACACACAUCCUACAAUGGUGAGGAACAACGGGCAGCGAAACCGCAAGGUCGAGCUAAUCCUAAAAUC
This 1222-nucleotide ribosomal RNA is filed under the name uncultured bacterium. RNAcentral describes it as "bacterial SSU rRNA". It matches the Rfam family "Bacterial small subunit ribosomal RNA", at positions 8 to 1282 of the family's 1533-position model. The record is from RNAcentral.